Long non-coding RNA from Rhodamnia argentea, 204 nucleotides. RefSeq lists it as uncharacterized. The transcript has 3 exons. The record is from RefSeq and is a predicted model, not a curated record. NCBI's taxonomy places the organism in Eukaryota, Viridiplantae, Streptophyta, Magnoliopsida, Myrtales, Myrtaceae.
GUUGAGGAGGACUUAGAAGAACUCACAAAGUUUGAGCCAGGUAAAAAAAUAUAGUUAUCGAAUAUUUAUACCUUUCUAUAUUUCAAUGGAUACCUUAGUUCUCAUUUUCAUCAUAAAUUUAAUGCAAAGUUGCCAACUACGACCGUUGAGCCAAACUUGACAUCGAUGUCUCUUGGUGAUUGACGAAUUCCCAUGGAUGUAGGA